CUAUGUCGGAUUUGUCAGUUUUUGCAGGAUUUUCGAAGUGCUUGCAUGACAUUUGCAGGACGUAAGAUUUUGCAGGAUUUUCGAAUUUUUUGUCGGAUUUCUGGUAAUUUUUGGGGAUUUUUUGAAUAUCUGGUGAUAAUUGUAUUAAUCAAUUGAAAUUUGCAGUAGACAACAACUGAGACCACUGUGGCGCUGUUGUCUGGUGCUCUGAGCCUAAGCCGCUCUGAGCCUGACUCUGAGUUUCUGAUCUGUGGACGUCUAGUCCUCUCGUUACUCGUUUGACUGUUUGAAUUUGAGAGUUUUAUUGAAAAAAAGUUCUGACUUUGUUGAGGUUUGAACCAUCUACCACUGAAGUGCUGAUCCAGCUUGCUAACCAAUCAGCUACAGGGACUUUAUCAACAAUUACAAAUUGUAUGUAUUAGUUACAUCCCUGAGAGAUUUUUAAAAUUCUUAUUUUAAAAAGCCGAAGGCUUACCGCCUUUUAAGGGUGAGAGAUUUGAAGAAACAAAAGUUCCGACAGCGCUCCAAAUAGUGUUAACCCUGAGAGGUCCCUGGGGAAUUGGGCGGGGGGAGACGAAAACGGUUUUUCAUACUUUCACGCUCUCGUGAUCCUCCGAUCAUGAAGCGACCUAUCUCAUUCAACGUAGAAUGACUUUUUACAUCUAAUACGACUAAUUUUUACAAGUGUUAACGAAAUUAACGGGGUUAUAAUCGGGGAAAAGAACAAAAAAAAGGGAAAACUUCUAAAUGAUGAGAAAAAGUUCGCUUCUAAUAUUUGAGAAUCUAACCACCUCUAAUUUAAAGAAGAACUUUCCCUUUAACGAAAAAAACUAGAAUUGCGAUAUCUUAUUUGUUUUUCGCGAGAUAUCUGCAAAAGAAAAAGACACCCAGAUUGACUUUUAGUUGGAUUCCCCAGCAGACGACAUUUUCUAUAGCCUGUGUCUGCUUGUCGAACGUCAAGCUCAAUCAAAACAAUCAACGAGGCUAGAAUUUCAUUUGAUUAUCGGACGCUGUGUCUCAAUUCGCUUCCCAAUCUAAUAUUUCUCACCCAUUCGCAAGAUCCGGAGAUCCUAUUCCAGUUUAUCCUAUCUGUGCAUCAGUUUGUUUUCGGGGCUAUACCAGUAAUUCCACAAGUAUGUUUACACACAUCAAGACGCAGGGAAUGGUUACUUUACUAAAGAAGCUCAGUUUGUUUUCGGUACAACUACUCACUAUUGUUCUUGAUGCUUUGUAAAAUCUUAUUCAAAUUCCCAAAGAUUUGAAUUUAAAAAAAAUUACGUUGUGAAACAAUAAUAAAUAAUGAAAGAGA
This is a long non-coding RNA of Daphnia pulex (common water flea), 1309 nucleotides long. RefSeq lists it as uncharacterized. The transcript has 4 exons. Lineage: Eukaryota; Metazoa; Arthropoda; Branchiopoda; Diplostraca; Daphniidae. The record is from RefSeq and is a predicted model, not a curated record.